GCCAGCCUUUCCAAGUGAAUUUUCAUGAGACUGUGUUUCACCAAACCUCUAAGGUAAGAGAUACGGAAAGGCAUGCGUUGGUUUUGAUUCAUGAAUUAAUGCUCGUGUACUGGGUUUGUGUGGCCAAGCUUUGAUAGUCAGGAGGUACAAUCACUUCUGUGAGAUGCUGCUGGAAGUUUCCCCUGUGUGUGGCAGAUCCAAUGCCAUAUGUCUCCAAGACAGACCCACUGCUCACCAAGGCUGUGCCAAUAAGAAAUGGUGGUAAUGCCUCUUUGAUAACAUAUUUAAGAAGGGAAAAAAAAGUUAUUGUGCAGAUGUAACUGUGGACAGAGAAGAGAGGGGUGAGAAUAUGUGAGAGGAAUGAGAAUAUGUAGGAGGAACCAUUCUGAAAGCACUGAAGUUGGUGGAGAUGGAAGGGUAGAAGGCUGACAUUCUCCUGCAAGCCAUGGUGAAGACCAUGGUAAAUCAGCUGUUCCCAUGCACCCCAUGGAGAUCCAUGGGGAUGUAAAGAUCCACCUGUACCCCAUGAAGGGGCCCCAUGCUGGUGCAGGUGAAUGCCUGAGAGCAGGCUGUGACUCUGUGGGAUGCCCCAGCUGGAACAGCAUCCUGGCAAGGAGCUCCAGACCAGUGGAGAGGAGAUCCAGUGCUGGAGCAGGUUUCCUAGAAGGACUUUCGAUCCUGUAGGAGACCCACGUUGUAGCAGGCUGUGCCUGAAGGAUUACAUCCUGUGGAAGUGGUUUGUGGAGAGCUGUUGCCUGUGAGAUGGACUCACAUUGGGUAAGCUCAUGGAGAGCUAUCUUCUGUGAGGGGGCAUCAGAGUGGAGCAGAGGAAGGAUGCCUGUCCCUGAGCAGCAGCAGAAACAUGUGCUGAACUGACCACAACACCCAUUCCCUUGUGCUGCUGAGUGGGAGAAGUUGAGAAGUUGGGAAAUGAUAGAGUGGCUUUGAUGGGCACUCGGCAUCCAUCCAGAGUCAACCCACCACACUGGCUACUGAAAAGUGAGGAAGCAUCUGUAUGCACUUGAGAUCCCCUCUUCCAGGCAGCUGCAUUAUGGCCACAGUUGUGACAAUGUCUCCUCUGGGCAACAACACGUGGGAACAGUAGCAAAGUCUAUUUUUCUUUGUUUCUUUUUGCCAGCAGACAUCUAGUAAUGUCAGAACCAGUGGUGCACAUAAGGCUCCAUGAGAUUCACAGCCUGCAGAGAAAGUUUCUCUGUCAGUUCACCUCGAAAGUUUCUGUUGCACCUACUCUCCACUUCAAGAAGAUGAACGACCGAUUCUUUGAGAAACUAAGAAUGAGUAAACUAUUUGCUUUUGAGCAAUGCAGAGUGCAUGUACACUCUUAUUGUUUCUCUCCACAGAGCAUUAUGUCUUAUGGCUAGCAACAGGCAGAUAUAGAUAAACUCUAGUUUUGGUAGGUCUGUUCCUUCAAAGCGCAUGGUGGCACUGACAGAUGGAAUUUUGCUGAGUUAUAAUAGCUGAUGUAGUACUCAUUUCUUACUGUUCCACAUAAAAAUUUAUAGGGGAUUGGGAUAGUUAAAGAGAUGCAGUCCUCAGGAAAUUUUUUGCAAAUUCUGCUUUUUUUGCUUUGGUCCAUUCCAGAAGUGGUCAGGUUGGACAGAGCUCUGAGCAGCUUGAUCUAGUUGAAGAAUGUCCCUGCUCAGGUGUGUUGCAGGGCUGAGUUGGACUAGAUAACCUUUAAAUGUUCCUUCAAAUCUAAACUAUUCAAAUGAUUCAAUACCUCAUGUUUUGCUGUUGAAGAAGAAAGUCUAAUCUGAAUUCUUCCAAAGUUUCAUUUAUGUUUCAGUGGAAAAGUAUACAACACCCUAAAAAUACUUUUUUAUAUUUAAAAGGACACUGCAUUUCAUUAUUCUUUAUUAAAAGCGAUCACAGACACCAGCUGACAGACAUCCUCCAUUUGAAUUUACAAUGAAUGUUUUAACCAACACUUUUUCUCAAAAAAAGGAAAAAGGUUUCUUUGCCAAAGAUGGAUUGUUAAGAAGUCCUCAGUGGAUAAUCAGCAGUCUCUUGUCUCUUUGUGGUUAUGAAUAUUCAAAAACUUGGUGAACUCUGGGGGCUUCAAGGGGACAGUGAUAUGGUGGAUUGACCUUGUCUGGGACCCAGGAGCCAACUAACCUUCUCUAUGAUUCUCUUCAGCACAGUGGGAGCAUAAAGAAAAGAAGAUGGGAAACAAACGCUCAUGAGCUAAGAUAAAGUCAGUUUAAUAAAGCAAAAGAGAAUUUUGCACAUGUGCAAGCAAGGGGGGAAGAAAACCUGAAAGAUUUUAUUCUUUAUUUCCCACCAGUGAAUGAUAUCCAGCCUCUUCCUGAGAAGCAGGGCUUCAACACAGCAGAUGCUCCAGAAUACAAACACCACAAACAACGAAGGCCACACCUUCCUUCUCCUUCCCCUUAGGUUUUGUACCUGGACAGACAUCCUAUGAUGUGGAAUACCCCUUUGUUCAGUUGGGGUUGGCUGUCCCAGCUACAUGCCCUCCCAGGAUCCUGCCCACCCCCAGCCUUUGGCCUCUGUGGGGUGGAGUGCUGGAGAGAGAGGCUGGUGCUGUGCCAGCACUGCUCAGCAGCAGCCAAGGCAAUGCUGUGUUGUCAACACCUUUUCAGCUCCUAAAGCAAAGCACAGCACCGGGAGGGCUGCUGUGGGAAAAUGAACUCCACCUCAGCCAGACCAAAUACAAGUGUAAAGGCUAUAAUAGGUGUGUGCAGAAAAAUCCCUGGCAUUUGGGUGAGUUAUAUUAUUUGUGUGAGUUACAUUAUCCUAAUUGAGAAGUCAGCCAUCGGACUGCAUUUGAACAAUCUGAUUUUGUUUAAAGCUCCUUUUAUGGUUUCCAAGCAUGCUAAAAUGCAAAUCUGUGUCUGGAUUACUCACAAGGCAAUUGCAAAAUCUCUCAUUAUGUAAAAUGGCCACGUUUGGAGAUCCAUAAGCCAGUAGACAUUAAUUGGGAGCAAUUAAGCCUACAUUGAGUCCAAUGGGAUGAAAUGUCAGAGAGGAGGACAGUGACUCGAGGCAUAGGAGUAAUUUAUUAAAGAAUCAGAGCUGUCUUGGUUGUCUUGCAGCAUGCGCUGGUGUACAAGUCACCAAACUAUCUCCCUCUGUACAAUGAGAAUUUCAGGCUCCAGCAACUAUUGUGUGUAUGUUUCCAUUGUAGGAGCUUGAUUAAUAUGAAACUCCUCAGUAUUUGAUUUGGUUAGUGAUCAUUCUCCUCUUUUGUACAAGAUACAGAAGAAAAAUAACCUACAAAAUGUACUUGUAGAAAAUGCAGGUGUUAGAGAGACAAAGUCCUUUUUGUCAAUACAGUUUGCAAUCAGGAGCUACAAACACGGUUUGUGUUCCUGAUGGAUAUUCAGAACCUGACAGGAAAGCUGUGAAUCAGGGAACUUGUAGGCCAGAGAAGGACCAUAGGAGCUGUUUACUGCACAGAAGAGCACCAAGACAGACAAACAUGUUGAAAAUUACUGUUGCUGAAUCUCAGAGGCAUGAAGCAACACCUGACACAGAUUAUCUGGAAUAGCGUUCUUCUUCAUUAGAUCCACAAACAGCAAGAAAUUAACAGCAAAAUCUGCAGGCCCAUCUUCUAAUAGUAGUACACUUAUGGCCAAUGUGAAAAAUAAAACUGCAGAACUGUUCCUCUUUCUAUGAUAACUAAAACCUCAUCAAAAUGAGGUAGGACAAGACUUCUGAGAGUCAUUAAUUUGUUGUUCUGCUUGAACCAGGGAAAUGUUAAAACAUAACUGAUAACAUAAUAGUCUGCCUGCACUGUAGAUUUGGAAAUGUUAAAGUCAAAGUUGCAUGCAGAAACUUAAUAUCUUGCAUUUGCUAUGAUUUAGCCUUUAAUUACAGAAUGAUGCUUUGUGUUUUCAUAGAAUCCAGACUAAAUUACUACACCAGAUAUAUGGAUGGCUUGUUGGAAGCCUGUGUUCAAUAUCACCUUCCUUCCUACUUCAUACAGACCAGUUUGAAAAGAAGAUUAUGAAAUUUCUCACAUCUCUUGUCCUGGUAGUUGCCACUAAUGUAUUUCAGAGGUCUGAUUACUUGCCCAUUUGCUGAGGCUGUAUUCAUUGUGCUGCAGUGUCUGUUUCAGCUUUUCAGAGGAAUGUUUAUGGCUGCACGUGUUAGUUUCCUGAUGUCUCUGUACUUGAGUUAUACCUCAAUUCCCUGCAAUUUAUUAAGGAAGUGAAAUGAUUUUUAGCAUGCAGAACUGUCUGUGCUUCUGUUCUACUUCUCUGCUGAGAAGCUCAUUAUGAAGAAAUCUUUCCAAUCUCUGACCAGUGAAAGCUGGUCAUUAAUAAAUGAUGAGGAAUUAUC
Parus major (Great Tit) is the source of this 4323-nucleotide long non-coding RNA. RefSeq lists it as uncharacterized. The transcript is spliced from 2 exons. NCBI's taxonomy places the organism in Eukaryota, Metazoa, Chordata, Aves, Passeriformes, Paridae. The record is from RefSeq and is a predicted model, not a curated record.